RNAcentral lists this long non-coding RNA (2928 nucleotides) under Salmo salar (Atlantic salmon). Its description in RNAcentral is "lncRNA (ENSSSAG00000101442.1)". Lineage: Eukaryota; Metazoa; Chordata; Actinopteri; Salmoniformes; Salmonidae. The record is from RNAcentral.
AGUUAUCUGGUGAUAGUAUAGAGUUCUGACAUCUACACUACUAUAACAGGUCAGUUAUCUGGUGAUAGUAUAGUGUUCUGACAUCUACACUACUAUAACAGGUCAGUUAUCUGGUGAUAGUAUAGUGUUCUGACAUGUACACUCCUUUAACAGGUCAGUUAUCUGGUGAUAGUAUAGAGUUCUGACAUCUACACUACUAUAACAGGUCAGUUAUUUGGUGAUAGUAUAGUGUUCUGACAUCUACACAACUAUAACAGGUCAGUUAUCUGGUGAUAGUAUAGUGUUCUGACAUCUACACUACUAUAACAGGUCAGUUAUCUGGUGAUAGUAUAGUGUUCUGACAUCUACACUACUAUAACAGGUCAGUUAUCUGGUGAUAGUAUAGUGUUCUGACAUCUACACUACUAUAACAGGUCAGUUAUCUGGUGAUAGUAUAGUGUUCUGAUAUCUACACUACUAUAACAGGUCAGUUAUCUGGUGAUAGGAUAGUGUUCUGACAUCUACACUAAUAUAACAGGUCAGUUAUCUGGUGAUAGUAUAAUGUUCUGACAUCUACACUACUAUAACAGGUCAGUUAUCUGGUGAUAGUAUAGAGUUCUGACAUCUACACUACUAUAACAGGUCAGUUAUUUGGUGAUAGUAUAGUGUUCUGACAUCUACACAACUAUAACAGGUCAGUUAUCUGGUGAUAGUAUAGUGUUCUGACAUCUACACUACUAUAACAGGUCAGUUAUCUGGUGAUAGUAUAGUGUUCUGACAUCUACACUACUAUAACAGGUCAGUUAUCUGGUGAUAGUAUCGUGUUCUGACAUCUACACUACUAUAACAGGUCAGUUAUCUGGUGAUAGUAUAGUGUUCUGAUAUCUACACUACUAUAACAGGUCAGUUAUCUGGUGAUAGUAUAGUGUUCUGUCAUCUACACUACUAUAACAGGUCAGUUAUCUGGUGAUAGUGUUCUGACAUCUACACUACUAUAACAGGUUAGUUAUCUGGUGAUAGUAUAGUGUUCUGACAUCUACACUACUAUAACAGGUCAGUUAUCUGGUGAUAGUAUAGUGUUCUGACAUCUACACUACUAUAACAGGUCAGUUAUCUGGUGAUAGUAUAGUGUUCUGACAUCUACACUACUAUAACAGGUCAGUUAUCUGGUGAUAGUAUAGUGUUCUGACAUCUACACUACUAUAACAGGUCAGUUAUCUGGUGAUAGUAUAGUGUUCUGACAUCUACACUACUAUAACAGGUCAGUUAUCUGGUGAUAGUAUAGUGUUCUGACAUCUACACUUCUAUAACAGGUCAUUUAUCUGGUGAUAGUAUAGUGUUCUGACAUCUACAUUACUAUAACAGGUCAGUAAUCUGGUGAUAGUAUAGUGUUCUGAUAUCUACACUACUAUAACAGGUCAGUUAUCUGGUGAUAGUAUAGUGUUCUGACAUCUACACUACUAUAACAGGUCAGUUAUCUGGUGAUAGUAUAGUGUGCUGACAUCUACACUACUAUAACAGGUCAGUUAUCUAGUGAUAGUAUAAUCAACUGCCCUACAGUUAGAAUAGGAUGUUUGUCCCUAAUACUGGAAUUGGAGAUAGCUACACACCUGAUUCUACUAAUCAACCAGUCACAAUCCAAAUCAGUUAACUUAAUGCAUAGUCACUGUUUUCUACCAGAAGUGUUCUAUUACCAGUGGUCUAUUACCAGUGUUGUAUUACUAGUGUUGUAUUGCCAGUGUGUCAUGAGAAUUUUAAAUCCAAAUGAUAAUAACUAACAAUCAAUAAGCUUUGACUAAUCUCCAAGGUUUGUAAGAUACUGGGUUAAUAAUAAUUAGUCAAAGACUCAGCUUCUGCAAAAGGUUCGUACAGUUUAUUCAGAGAACGUUCUGAAGUCCAUUAUACAAAGACAUUCAUUUUAUAACUUGCUUCUUCCUUACGCACAUACAUCCACACAAACAGUAGGUGGGAUGUAUCCCUCCCCAGAGUUCUCACCACUGUUUAUCACUACCCAGCGCUGUCCGUUCCAUUCCCCAGAGAUUAGAGGAACCUUGAGAAGUACUCCCUGUCCUAUCAUAAGUUUAGUUCUAGCCAGGUUGAGCCAAACAAUCUCUAUUGUUCUCUGUAUUUUCUUAGGCACACACAUACACACAUACAUUUCUCUUCCUCACAGGUCUCUACUAAACCUUAUGGGUCCCUUAUCACAGUGUUGUACUACCAGUGUUGUAUUGCUAGUGUUGUAUUACUAGUGUUGUAUUACCAGUGUUCUUUUACCAGUGUUCUAUUACCAGUGUUCUAUCACCAGUGUUCUAUUACCAGUAUUGUAUUACCGGUGUUAUAUUACUAGUGUUCUAUUACCAGUGUUGCACUUCCAGUGUUGUACUACCAGUGUUGUAUUACUAGUAUUGUAUUACUAGUAUUGUAUUACCAGUGUUGUAUUACCAGUGUUGUAUUGCCAGUGUUGUAUUGCCAGUGUUGUAUUGCCAGUGUUGCAUUGCCGGUGUUAUAUUGCCGGUGUUGUAUUACCGGUGUUGUAUUACCGGUGUUGUAUUACCGGUGUUGUAUUACCAGUGUUCUAUUACCAGUUUUCUAUUACCAGUGUAAUAUUACCAGUGUUAUAUUACCAGUGUUGUAUUACCAAUGUUGUAUUACUAGUGUUGUAUUGCCAGUGUUGUAUUGCCAGUGUUGUAUUGCCAGUGUUGUAUUACUAGUGUUCUAUGACCAGUGUUGUAUUACAAAUGUUGUAUUACCAAUGUUGUAUUACCAAUGUUGUAUUACCAGUGUUGUAUUACCAGUGUUGUAUUGCCAGUGUUAUAUUACUAGUUUUCUAUUACCAGUGUUGUAUUGCCAGUGUUAUAUUACUAGUUUUCUAUUACCAGUGUUGUAUGACCAGUGUUCUACUACUAGUGUUCUAUGACCAAUGUUGUAUUACUAGUGUUCUAUGACCAG